AGCGAACGCUGGCGGCAGGCUUAACACAUGCAAGUCGAACGGGCGUAGCAAUACGUCAGUGGCAGACGGGUGAGUAACGCGUGGGAACGUACCUUUUGGUUCGGAACAACCCAGGGAAACUUGGGCUAAUACCGGAUAAGCCCUUACGGGGAAAGAUUUAUCGCCGAAAGAUCGGCCCGCGUCUGAUUAGCUAGUUGGUGAGGUAACGGCUCACCAAGGCGACGAUCAGUAGCUGGUCUGAGAGGAUGAUCAGCCACAUUGGGACUGAGACACGGCCCAAACUCCUACGGGAGGCAGCAGUGGGGAAUAUUGGACAAUGGGCGCAAGCCUGAUCCAGCCAUGCCGCGUGAGUGAUGAAGGCCCUAGGGUUGUAAAGCCUCUUUCGGCGGGGACGAUAAUGACGGUACCCGCAGAAGAAGCCCCGGCUAACUUCGUGCCAGCCGCCGCGGUAAC
RNAcentral lists this ribosomal RNA (453 nucleotides) under uncultured bacterium. Its description in RNAcentral is "bacterial SSU rRNA". It matches the Rfam family "Bacterial small subunit ribosomal RNA", at positions 29 to 524 of the family's 1533-position model. The record is from RNAcentral.